UGGGGAAUUUUGGACAAUGGGCGCAAGCCUGAUCCAGCAAUGCCGCGUGAGUGAAGAAGGCCUUCGGGUUGUAAAGCUCUUUUGUCAGGGAAGAAACGGGGUUGGCUAAUAUCUGAUCCUAAUGACGGUACCUGAAGAAUAAGCACCGGCUAACUACGUGCCAGCAGCCGCGGUAAUACGUAGGGUGCAAGCGUUAAUCGGAAUUACUGGGCGUAAAGCGUGCGCAGGCGGUUUUGUAAGUUUGUCGUGAAAUCCCCGGGCUUAACCUGGGAAUUGCGAUGAAGACUGCAAGGCUAGAAUCUGGCAGAGGGGGGUAGAAUUCCACGUGUAGCAGUGAAAUGCGUAGAGAUGUGGAGGAACACCGAUGGCGAAGGCAGCCCCCUGGGUCAAGAUUGACGCUCAUGCACGAAAGCGUGGGGAGCAAACAGG
Molecule: ribosomal RNA, 429 nt
Filed under: uncultured bacterium
Lineage: Bacteria
Description: bacterial SSU rRNA
Rfam family: Bacterial small subunit ribosomal RNA
Source: RNAcentral